CUCAGUAAUUGGUCGCAUUCGUCGACAAAAAUGUUGUGUACUCCACAUCUGUUUAAAAUUUUAAUUUAAUUAGCCGACGUCUUGUAAUUUUUGAAUUUUUUUAAAAACGAUAUAAAAAAAAUGCACCCAUAGUUUUUUAAAUUUCCUACAUGUGCAUAUUUUUAAUUUUUUGAAAUCGAUUUUUAAAAAAUUUGAAAAUUUUCAGUUUACUAAAUCCAGGAUAAUAAUUUUUAAAUUUUUAAUUAAUCAUCCGAUGAAUAAAAUAAAUCGUAGGAUUAGCAGACGUUGAGACACUAGGUAAAAAAUUUCAAAUAAUUUAUCACGUCUACAUUUAUAGCGUAAGUUAAAAUAACAAACGUCAGUGUUUGAUACAUAAAUCAUCAUUUAAAUUAUAUGAGUUAAUGAUAAAUUACUGAUAAGCGACACCAGUGGUUCUGAUACCGUAAUAAUUAAAUGACUUUUAUUUAAAUAAAGUGACAGUCUGCGAAAAUUAAAAACCCGAGUGGUCAAAAUAAAAAUAAAUAAAAAGAACAAGGGAUCAAUGAUAAGUGCAAAUUAAUUUAAUUGGUAAAGACAAUUUUUACCAGCAAUGAAAGACAAAGAAGAAAAAAUUAUUAAUUCAAAUAGUAAAAUGUCUGAAGAAACUUCAAAUCACGAAGAAAUAAUAAUCGGAGGAAUUGAAGGAGGCGGCACUCAUUCUUCUUUGAUAAUAAUGGACGGCAAGGGAAAUCAACUGGCGCAUAUCAAGGGUCCUGGCACCAAUCACUGGGGUUUGGGUAUAAAGGAAACUGCCUUGAGAAUCAAUAACAUGAUUGUGGAAGCCAAGGAAACUUUAAAUAUUUCUGAAUCUCGUCUUCUUGAUUGUGUCGGUUUGUGCUUGAGUGGCUGCGAGGAAGAAGAAACUAAUAAUCAGCUGGUGGAAACUCUGCUGAAAGAAUUCCCGCAUGCUAGCAAAAAAUAUGUCGUCGGUUCAGACUCGAUGGGCAGCUUAAAAACUGGUUCUAAUUGCGGAGGUAUUGUUCUUAUAGCGGGAACGGGGAGUAAUGGUCUGCUAAUUAACUCAGAUGGUAGCACUCAUGGGUGUGGAGGCUGGGGUCACAUGAUUGGUGACGAAGGCGGAGCUUUCUGGAUAGCCCACAGAGCUUGCAAAUGUGUAUUUGAUGAUUUAGAUGGGCUACAAAAAGCCCCACACUCUACAGAAUUCGUUUGGACGGCGAUGAAAAAAUUUUUCCGUGUGAAUAAUCAAAACGAAAUGCUGCCACAUCUUUACUCAAAUUUUGAUAAAAGUAAAUUCGCCAUGUUCACCAAAGAACUUGUUGCUGGAUGUGAAAAAAAAGAUCCGCUCUGUGAAAGUUUUUUUACCCAUGCUGGAGAAUAUCUUGCGCGAUAUGUAAAUACGCUGGCUGCUAAAGCGCACAAUGAUGUGAAAUUGGCGACUGGAGGCUUGAAGGUAAUCUGCGUUGGCUCAGUUUGGAAGUCAUGGAAUUUAAUGGAAAAAGGUUUCACGAAUGAAAUUAAAAGACGACAUUUAGUUGAUGAAUUGACUUUGUUGAGAUUGAAAGCACCUUCGGCUAUUGGCGCUUGUUAUGUUGCCGGUGAAAAAAUAUCUUGUGAAAGUCUUGUUAAGACUCAUGAUAAAAAUUCCGAGGCUUUUUUUCACUACAAACGAGGAACUGAACCGAAGAAAGGAACUUCUGUUGUAGCUAUCGAUAAUUCUUGCGAAACAAUUUGUGUUGCUGCGUCGUAAAAUAUAAUAAGUAAAAAGUAUAAGUAUAUUUUUACUUGAUGGAAGUAUUUGUCUAUAAAAUAUACGAGGUAUAUCUCGUAUAUAUUUUUGUAGUACUGGGAGUUAAAAAUAUUGACAAAAUUUUAUUGAAUUUUCGUCAAUAAAAUAAUUACGAGACUUAUAUAUUUUUAUAUAAAAAUUUAUCACCGGUCAAUGAUCAAUUUAUUUAUCGCAAUGGUAGCAUUUGUUAUAUUUAUAUAUUUUGUCUGCAACAUGACGUGACUGUAUACUACGUGAAUAUGAAAGACAAAAUAAAAAUAAAAAUUUGACAGUCAAAUAAAAUUUAAAUGUUUAUGUAAAUUUAUAUGAAAAAUGGGCAUAGCAAAUUUUUUUGGAUGGAUCUUAUAUAUUUUAAUGUGGAGUAUCAUAAAAUUUAUAAAUAUCGUAGGUUAUAUAUUUGUCUUCUGUUUAUUGACAAUUUUCUUCUUCAUCGUAUUGCCGAUGCUCGUCUUCUUGGCUCUAUGGAGUCUCGGGCUCUUCUGGGACAACAGCAAUCGGCUCCAAGAAUAAAUAAUAAUAAAAGAGUGAAAGGACAAAUUAAUCUUAAAUGUUUUCACUUCUCGAUAACCUUGGGCUCAAGGCAACGCAACCGGAUAUAAAUUACUAGUAAAUUAACUUGUAAAAGAAAUAAAAUGAAUUUUUUACUGUAAAUCUGUUCACUGUAAAAAUAUAUGUAUUUUUGUACACGGUA
RNA transcript from Microplitis mediator, 2477 nucleotides. It is a transcript of the gene named N-acetyl-D-glucosamine kinase, with no coding region annotated. The transcript is spliced from 7 exons. Lineage: Eukaryota; Metazoa; Arthropoda; Insecta; Hymenoptera; Braconidae. The record is from RefSeq and is a predicted model, not a curated record.